UACGGAGGGGGCUAGCGUUGUUCGGAAUUACUGGGCGUAAAGCGCACGUAGGCGGACUGUUAAGUCGGGGGUGAAAUCCUGGGGCUCAACCUCAGAAUUGCCUCCGAUACUGGGAGUCUUGAGUUCGGGAGAGGUGAGUGGAACUGCGAGUGUAGAGGUGAAAUUCGUAGAUAUUCGCAAGAACACCAGUGGCGAAGGCGGCUCACUGGCCCGAUACUGACGCUGAGGUGCGAAAGCGUGGGGAGCAAACAGG
This 253-nucleotide ribosomal RNA is filed under the name uncultured bacterium. RNAcentral describes it as "partial 16S ribosomal RNA". It matches the Rfam family "Bacterial small subunit ribosomal RNA", at positions 524 to 776 of the family's 1533-position model. The record is from RNAcentral.